RNAcentral lists this unclassified non-coding RNA (5920 nucleotides) under Hevea brasiliensis (rubber tree). Lineage: Eukaryota; Viridiplantae; Streptophyta; Magnoliopsida; Malpighiales; Euphorbiaceae. The record is from RNAcentral.
GGUAAGAUCUCAAGUCCCUUCCUCCUAGAUUAUGUAAUAAAUUUUUAAUAGUUGUGGAAGGAAGAACUAUAAAUAUUACUUAAGUUUUGAUUGUAUAGGAUACCAGAGUGGUGAGGUUAAAGAAGGUAGAAUACUUGUCAAGUGGGUGAAAGGUUCUUGUUCCAUUUUAUACAAGGUAGAUUCAAGGAAUCAUGGGCUGCCUUACUUGAAUUACUUAGGUCUCCUUGUUGAUCAUAUGUAAAAUGUCCCAAUUGAGUUGAACUAAAUGUGCUUAAUUUAACAAUGUGAUUAUGUGGAUGAUGCAAGUAAUAUGGUUGUCAUGUUUGAACCAGUAAGCAAAUUUGUAUGCAAAUGCAAUUACAUGAAGUGAAUAAUUGUGUAUUGAUUUUUAAUGACUCUUGAUGUUGUGAUUUAAUCAAAUGCAAGUAGUCCUCCAGCCUUGUGUAUUUGAGUAAUUGUAUUAUUGAAAGAGGAAAUAGGAGAAAUUACUAUUACUAUUAUGACUUCUUAUAUAAUAAGCACAUAGAGUGAACUGUGAUAAGAGUGUAAAGGUGACUCGUAUCUUUGGAAUGGUAUUGAAUAGGCAGUUAUCAGUGUUGACCUGGCUGCUUAGUGAUUGGGAUAUUUAACUAUUUUGAGGUUGUGGUGAAUAGGGAUGACACAAGUAUGAUAGAGCGAAAAUUUCAAGUAUAAAUGAGAUGUAAGAAGUAUGCCCUAUAUAUGUACAACAUAAGGAGGUAGUGAAGGUGGAACAGUUUAUUUAUUGAUGAGUAUAUUAAGCCUCCAUAAUCAUUAAUCAAGUAAAAAGUAAGUAUGGAAUUAUGGAAUAGUAAAAUUUACUUGAUUCAUAUUCUUACUCUAAAAAUGAGGGUUGUCCAUAGAAGAAAGUUAUUACAAAUGUUGAUUCUAGAUUGUGUUUGAAGUUACAUGUUGAGAAUAUUGUAAUUAGAUGAAGUGUAGUGUACAGUAUGGAGUUCUGAGAGGUAAUAAAUAAAAAUAAGCACAAAAAGGGUGAUAUGGAAUUCAAGUAAUAUAAAUGAUGAUUAUCUAUUGUAAAUGAAAUUUAAGGAAUUAAAUUUUGUUGUGAUGAUUGAUGAAACAAGAGAUGAAAUGUCAGUUUAGCUUGCGUAUGACAUGUUAAAUGAUGCGAACCAUUGACUUGAAUAUAUGAAUGUGUGAGUGAACUUCUCAUCUUACUUUCUCUUCAGUCUUUUAAUUCUUUUUCUUAUGAACCUUAAAUGGUGGGUUAUAUUGAGCAUUUUAAGCUUUAAAAGUUUGACGAAUAGUUAGUGAAUUUGAUUUCUAAAUUGAGUUGUUUUGAAUCCUGUUUUGAGCCUAGUAACUUAGAGCUUAUGAGUAUAAAAUGUAAAUAUCCUAUUCUGUGUCUGUGUACUUAACUCAAGAAAAUUUUGCAUUUUACUUGGGUAUUGGAAUUGUUCUUUUUCCAUUUAGAUUGAGAAUGAAUAUUUUCUCAGAAGAUUUAUGAAUGUAAGAGUAUUAAAAUUUUAUGUCAUCGAGCUGAUUUGUGGUUUGAAAUACGUUGUUGGAUAAAGAAACUUGUGAAUGUAUAGGCUUUCAAGCAAAUGACAUUGACGUAGGAGUGAAAGACAUGGCCUAGGCCGUGUUGUGAAGACUUGGAACAUGACCAAGACAUGUCCCUGUCUACUUAUGUUUAGCUCAAUUUCUGGCGGAACAAGUUACCAAGUGUUUGGCUUUGUAUAAUCUUGCAAAUCAGAAGCAUAGAUCAAGUUAUAGUCAAUAGAUGUAUGGUGCAUGUAUGUAAAUAGUGUUUAAUUAAAGGUAUAAUCAUAGUUUAGGGUCAGGAAAAUAAUGUAAUUUGAUUAAUGAAGAUAAGAGAAUUUAUGGAUUAUGCAGAUAGAAUUUUUAACAACACUGCUAUGUACAAUUUAGAGAUAUAAAGAUACAAGAGUACUCUUAGUUGGUGGUUUAGAGGUAACACCGUUGUAAUAUUCUUUUAACAGAAUUAAGCUGUGUGCUAAGUAAGCUAGAAUGAGAUUGUAUAUUUUGUUAAACAAAGUUUAGCUGGGAAGUGAUUGAUAUUAAAUUGACUUUAGUAUAGUAUAUUAUGUGUUUAUGUAUAGAUUUUGUGAAAGUAAAUAUAAGGUUGUAUUGGAGUGUAUUUAAAGGAAUAUUGGAAAUUUACUUCUCAUCAGAAUAAAAAAGGGGAAAAUAAAGGUAUAUGUUAAACUAAAAGUCUAGUGUUUAAAACAAGAGAAAGAGAUAUUAUGCCCUAACUGCACAUCACAGAGGGGAGGUAAAGAAGUAGUUUGCUACUAGGAUUCUGAAAAGCUGCUAUGCAGCUACAAAUUUAGAACCAGGUUUCUCUGCCAUAGAUGUGAAAGUAGCUUUUCUUCUAGAGAAUUACAGAAGUUUGCUUCUGAAAGAUGAGAACUGAGUUUCACUCCAAAUGUUUCCUCUCAACCCGGUGGUGUUGCAUUAGGGCCUAAAGAUAGUGAAUAGGAACUAUAAAUUCUAAAGGAAAAAAAAAAGGAAGUUAUAAUAUUGAUAGUUAGUUGCUCAAUGGGGCUUUAAUAUGUUAAUUGAAUUGAAAUCAAGUAACAGCGUGAAAAUGGACAGUGGCAUAGAAUAUGGGUGUUAUAAAAAUAAUCGGGUUUGGGCGAGUUUGGUAGUAUGUGGGUAAUAGUAAUCAGAUUUGAAAUGGGCUUGGGUAAUAAGUUAUUUAUUUUAAUCAGGUUUAGUAUGGGUUUGGGUUCAGAUAUUUUAAAAUUUGUAGUACCCUACCCAUUGCCAUCUCUACUGAUUCCUUAUUGAUUUCUCUUGCAGACUAUAAUCUGUGCUACUCUUAACACUAUCACUGACGAUGGCUAAGAAGCGAAAGCAUGAUUCCAAAGUCACUGAACCAACCGAACCUCCAAAAAAGCAGCAGCAACAACAGAAACAGAAACAGAAAGAAGAAAUCGUGGAACACGUCAAUGAAGAAGAAUUCGAGGAAGUCGAAGAAGAGGAGGAAGAUGAAGUAGAUGAAGAAGUGGAAGAUGAAGAAAAAGAGGAUGAUGACAAUGAUGAAGAUGAAGAUAAUUCUCUACAAAAUAAUCAGAAUCAGAUCAAUGAUGAAGAUGAUGAACCUAUAGAAAAACUUCUUGAGCCAUUUAGCAAAGAGCAAUUGGUCAAUUUGCUUCGGGAUGCUGCUAAUACCCACCAAGAUGUUGAUGAUAGGAUACGUAGGAUAGCUGAUGAGGACCCUGUGCAUAGGAAGAUCUUUGUGCACGGCCUUGGCUGGGACACCACCGCUGAGACCCUCAUGAAUGCAUUUAAGACCUACGGCGAGGUUGAGGAUUGCAAGGCGGUGUGCGACAAGGUGUCUGGUAAAUCCAAGGGCUAUGGAUUCAUCCUUUUCAAGAAGCGAAGUGGGGCUCGCAAGGCCCUCAAGGAACCUCAGAAGAAGAUUGGCAAUCGGAUGACUGCUUGCCAGCUCGCUUCCAUUGGCCCUGUCUUAACCGCUGGUUCGGGAACCCCUGCACAGCAGCAGGUGUCCGAGUAUACUCUAAGGAAGAUUUAUGUGAGCAAUGUUGGUUCUGAUUUGGAUCCGCAGGAGCUGACUAACUUCUUUGCCAAGUAUGGGGAGAUUGAGGAAGGCCCACUUGGCCUAGACAAGGCAACUGGGAAGCCCAAGGGAUUUUGUUUGUUUGUAUACAGGAACGUUGAGAGCGCCAAGAAGGCACUCGAAGAACCACACAAGAACUUUGAGGGUCACAUUUUGCAUUGCCAGAAAGCAAUUGAUGGGCCUAAACCCGGUAAAUCUAUGCAGCAGCAACAGCAUCGUAAUGUGCGGAACUCGCAUUUUCAGAGGAAUGAUAAUCCUGCUUAUGCUAGUGGAACUGCUCCGGGGCCAGGUCAUUUGAUGGCACCUUCUGCUGGACCUGGGAUUGGUUUUAACCAGGGUGCAGGAGCUGCAGCUGCAUCUGCUUUGAACCCUGCACUUGGUCAGGCACUGACAGCCUUGCUUGCAUCGCAGGGUGCUGGAUUUGGCCUCACUAAUUUGCUAGGAACUUUGGGCUCUGCAGCUGCUGUUAACCCGGGCAGUGUGCCUGGUGCAGCACCUGGAAUGCAGGGUGCCUAUGGUAAUCAAGCAAAUAUAAGUCCCGGAGUGAUUGGAUCUUAUGGAAAUCAAGGAGUGAUGCAGGGUGGGUACUCAAAUCAGCAGCUGGGCCAAGGUGGUUCUGGAAGAGGGCAUGGUGUUGGGCAAUAUGGUGGUGCUGCACCUUACAUGGGUCACUAGAUAUCUUACAUACUUGGUAAGAUACGCUUUGUGUUUGUCUUAUGACUUCAGAAACCAUUGGAAACAAUACUAUACACAUGCACAUAUUUAUUAGUUUUAUUGCAUUUGUCAUUUGGGAACAUAGUUGUGUUGUAGGCACAACUUACAGUUCUAAGUCUUUAGAACUUCUUCAAUGCCAUAUCUUCAUUCGAAAAGGAUUCAGUGUGUUAUUAGCCAUUUUUCGGAAUUUAUGCAUUCACUAAUCAAUUGAUGUACUUGAUCAAUCUUAUGUUGGCUUCAGAUUUUCUGUCAAUUUUUGUAAAAUCUGUGCUACUUUAAUAGCUUCACUUUGGAUUUGCAAUAUUUGUUAUUGCAUUUUUGUACCUGUUUUUCUCUGAAAAGUGAGCUAUUCUGAGUUUUGAAUGAUAUGUACACAAAGUCACAAACAAAUGUGUUAGAAUUGUUUUCUGCAUUGAUUAUUAAAACUACUUGGCGCAAGUCAUUUGUGUGACCAUUGUAACAAUUUUGCUUUCUUCAUUAUUUUUGCAUCGAAUUAAUGUAAUAGUUAUUUGAUCAUUCUUAAGCUAUGGAUAUAUAUUUUAAUUAUGCUUUUAACCAUUUUUGGAAGGAUUUUAACCCUGAUUCUCUUUUGAAAUUUUUGUCUUUAUGUUUUCCUACUCAUUUUGCAGAUCCCAUAUAGGUGCAUCAGUCUUUUAAGUAAUGGCCUGCAGAUUCUUCUGAAGUUUAUGGAGCUUAUGCAAAUGAAGUCUUUAUAAAUAUGACCCAACCCUUUUGGUUACUAGAAAGACUCUUAAAAUGUAUUUCUGGUUUUUUCCUACUUAGCUUUGUUCCUCCUGCAUUUUCUUUUAUUUAAAAACAUUGUAUUUUGAGUUUCAGUAUUUAGUUUAAAAGCUUUGGAAACAAGUUGACUACUACUUUCAUGAAUAAUGUGUGUAUUGGUGUGCAGUGAAUUAGAUUGAGCAAAAGUACUUUUACCUAGUUUUCAGUCAUGCAAUUUUGGCCUUUUAAACCAUUCUUUCAUAUUUAAUUUACUUGUUUGUGGAAAAAUUUUAUGACCUUAAUUUUCUGUUCUUUCUCAAUCUUAUUUUACUGGUUUUGCAAGUUGCACUAUGAAUUAUAAACCAGAAAUAUAAUUUAUUCUUUAUAUGGUGGUUGUCCAUGAUGUGUGUUUCAUAUAAUCACAGAGUGUAGAUUCUUCUUGAAAUUUUAUUGCCAGUGAUUUUUUAUGCAGGUUAAGCCAACCAUUUGUUAGUACUAACUUGCAGAAACAGUAUGCAGUUGGAUGAAAAUAUGACUGUUCAAAACUUAAAAAGAAACCAAUAUCCAUCGGUGGUGGUAUAUUAAAAGUUUCUUUGUAUUUGACAACUUUUCCUCUCCCUGGGACGUGUUUCCUCAGUUCUGCGAUGGGUGUUACUUUAGUUUUAGGAUCGAUUGUUUGUAUGUUAAAAGUGACAAAAUUCUUUUGCUUGGAACAUCGUCAUAUUUCAUUAUGCUUACUAUUUUUGAAGGAGUUCUAAAUUAAUGUUAUGACCAAAAUUGAUUCAUGUCGUUGGAGCUUUGGCUGGGGAGGGGUCUUCAGAUUUGAUGUUGUUCUCCUCAAUGAACAGGUUAAAGCUCAAGAUUUGACUUGAUUAUUAUAUGCAAUAUUGUUUCUUAAGU